Molecule: ribosomal RNA, 495 nt
Filed under: uncultured bacterium
Lineage: Bacteria
Description: partial 16S ribosomal RNA
Rfam family: Bacterial small subunit ribosomal RNA
Source: RNAcentral
GACGAACGCUGGCGGCGUGCCUAAUACAUGCAAGUAGAACGCUGAAGGAGGAGCUUGCUUCUCUGGAUGAGUUGCGAACGGGUGAGUAACGCGUAGGUAACCUGCCUGGUAGCGGGGGAUAACUAUUGGAAACGAUAGCUAAUACCGCAUAACAGUAGAUAUCGCAUGAUAUCUACUUGAAAGGUGCAAUUGCAUCACUACCAGAUGGACCUGCGUUGUAUUAGCUAGUUGGUGAGGUAACGGCUCACCAAGGCGACGAUACAUAGCCGACCUGAGAGGGUGAUCGGCCACACUGGGACUGAGACACGGCCCAGACUCCUACGGGAGGCAGCAGUAGGGAAUCUUCGGCAAUGGACGGAAGUCUGACCGAGCAACGCCGCGUGAGUGAAGAAGGUUUUCGGAUCGUAAAGCUCGGUUGUAAGAGAAGAACGAGUGUGAGAGUGGAAAGUUCACACUGUGACGGUAUCUUACCAGAAAGGGACGGCUAACUACGUG